GGACCAAGGAGUCUAGCAUGUGCGCGAGUCAUUGGGACUAUCGAAUCCUAAAGGCGCAAUGAAAGUGAACGUGAGUUAUACUCUCUGAGGGAAGAUGGGCAAUGAAAUAAGUGCCUCGCACUCCCGGGGCGUCUCAUUCUCAUUGCGAGAAGAGGCGCACCUAGAGCGUACAUGCUGGGACCC
Molecule: ribosomal RNA, 183 nt
Filed under: Zyras sp. 4 BT-2011
Lineage: Eukaryota; Metazoa; Arthropoda; Insecta; Coleoptera; Staphylinidae
Description: partial 28S ribosomal RNA
Rfam family: Eukaryotic large subunit ribosomal RNA
Source: RNAcentral